Molecule: long non-coding RNA, 413 nt
Organism: Rhopalosiphum padi (bird cherry-oat aphid)
Lineage: Eukaryota; Metazoa; Arthropoda; Insecta; Hemiptera; Aphididae
Exons: 4
Source: RefSeq, a predicted model, not a curated record
UUUGACAGCUACACACGAUACACCGUCGAUAUCGCAACACGAUCAAACUCGUGGACAUUCUUUAUGCGACAUCUGUCUAGUGUCUAUGGAAAUCAACCUGUAUAAUAAUAUAACAGUAUCUACUUAUAAUAAAAAAGAAUAAUUUACAAAUUAAUUUUUGAGAAUCAAAAUUCUAACAUCAAUUGCUUAUAAACAAAAAUUGUAUUACAACAACUUACUAGAUAGCUGUAUCCAGAUCAAAUUUGCCAACAGAAACUACCGCAUCAAAGUGAAAGGUUGAAGACAUUUUUUUCUGCACAAUGAAAACGCAGAUCCCGAUCAUUUGUUUGUAACUAUUUAAUAAAAUGAUAUAUUAUUUUAUAUAUUAUAUACCAUAUAAUAUAAUUUUCAAUGCAUAAACAAAAUAUAUUAAU